UCUUACCGGUAAAAACGGGCCAGCUACAUUUCCUGGUUAUAAGCAAACCACAAUAUCCAGAAUUCAUAGUGAUUUCAGGGUCUAGUACCGCCCCAUGGAGGAGUAUCCAAUUGAUGUGAGAAAUAUACAAAUGUAUGUUUGUAGCCAGCACUUUCAGCCAGAGGAUUUCGAAACGGAACUGAAGUGAUGGGGUUGCCAUUUAGUUGAACAUUGAAAAGUGAUGCUGUUCCAUCGAUUUCCCCCUUCUCUUCAAAGAGAAAGGCAUCCGAUCAGCCAACAUCAGCGCAGCAGAAAAGAAGCCAAGCUGAGUCCGAUCGCAUCAACAUCUGCAGCGGCAUCAACAUCAAGCUCAACACCAGGAACUAACUACUCCUGCUGCUGAUGAUGACGACCUUGACACCAGCUUUCGUAUUACAGAGCCUGUAGACCCAUUGGAUGAACGCUUUGAGCCUGGAAUAAGCUCAAGCUCAACAUAAUCUUACUUUGAAACAAGCCAGGACAGCCAAAAGGAGACUUGCAGUACAUACAAAUCUUCUGCAAGAGGUCGAAGCAGUGGGUGGUGAAGAACAUCGCCAAAGCCUGCUAAACCAGCUGCCAUUACCCUACACAUGCAGAGGUUCACCAGCUGAAGAACAUUCUGGAAUAUUCAACUAACACAACAUCCAUAUUCAGUUAGACUGAUGUUCUAGUAUAAUAUAGAUUAAAUGAUGCCGACUGGUUCAUGAUUUCGACUGGCUGAGAAACGCUGUCUGUCUCGUCCCAACUCCCGACACGUUCA
Molecule: long non-coding RNA, 778 nt
Organism: Coregonus clupeaformis (lake whitefish)
Lineage: Eukaryota; Metazoa; Chordata; Actinopteri; Salmoniformes; Salmonidae
Exons: 4
Source: RefSeq, a predicted model, not a curated record